RNAcentral lists this ribosomal RNA (407 nucleotides) under uncultured bacterium. RNAcentral describes it as "partial 16S ribosomal RNA". It matches the Rfam family "Bacterial small subunit ribosomal RNA", at positions 30 to 526 of the family's 1533-position model. The record is from RNAcentral.
AUUGAACGCUAGCGGCAGGCCUAACACAUGCAAGUCGAACGGAGUGGCGGACGGGUGAGUAAUGUCUAGGAAUCUGCCUGGUAGUGGGGGAUAACGUCCGGAAACGGGCGCUAAUACCGCAUACUAUCAGAUGAGCCUAGGUCGGAUUAGCUAGUUGGUGGGGUAAAGGCUUACCAAGGCGACGAUCCGUAGCUGGUCUGAGAGGAUGACCAGUCACACUGGAACUGAGACACGGUCCAGACUCCUACGGGAGGCAGCAGUGGGGAAUUUUGGACAAUGGGGGAAAGCCUGAUCCAGCCAUGCCGCGUGUGUGAAGAAGGCCUUCGGGUUGUAAAGCACUUUUGGUAGGGAGGCGGUACCAGCAGAAUAAGCACCGGCUAACUCCGUGCCAGCAGCCGCGGUAAUAC